CGUUGAAGGAGGUGAUCAGAAAAAAACACAAGUGGUGUUUUCUGUGCGUGCCCUGCCUUGUGGCGGUCUUUCCAUAGCCGCUCACAGUUACUGAGCAUCCUAAGCCCAGCUGCUGAGGCCCCCCCUUCACUUAAAGCCAGUCAUUUUCCCACAUUCGCCUCCCCCAUUCAAGCGCCCCAGCCAAGUCCUUCUGCACAAGAGCUGUUAGAGGUCUGUAUGGUUCCACUGCUGCAAACGUGGGAAGUAGUUCACCGCGAGGCUGAGAGAGGAAGGUUUGCAGAAGACUUUUUUCAACUUUUUCAAAUUUAACUACUGAGUCACAUUCCUGUCAUUCCACUGAAUGUGCAUACUACUCCCUGAGGCUGGCGUGAGUUUAGAAGGCUGGGAGCACCACACUUCGUUUCUGCCCAGAUGGACAUGUCAACAGGGCCGUGGGGUCAAGGACAACAGGUGGGAAGCAGAUCUCUCUGGCCUUGGCCUUCUCGUCUGCUACCACACCCCCGCUCUGCCCAGAAGAAGCCUGACAAAGGACCCAGGGCUUCCAUUGCACUCGGGUACCGCAUCCCACAUUAGUAAGACCUCAUCCGCCUUCUGCUUCUACAAUGGCCACAAGCAUUGCAGAAAUUCACACCCUCUCUAAUGCGGCGAAUGUUAGGUCUUAGGAUACAACAGUGAACCGGACCAGGCCUGCCGUCAUGGAGAGGGAAAGAAACAGACCGAGAAGUGAACACAUACAAACAAGGUAAUUUCAGACAGUGAUAAGCAUUAUUAAUAAGAUAAAACAAGAGUUCCCAUUGUGGCACAGUGGAAACGAAUCUGACUAGGAACCAUAAGGUUGAGGGUUUGAUCUCUGGUUUCGUUCAGUGGGUUAAGGAUCUGGCAUGGCUGUGGCUGUGGCAUAGGCCGGCAGCUACAGCUCUGAUUCGACCCCUAGCCUGGGAACCUCCAUAUGCUGUGGGUACAGCCCUAAAAAGCAAAAAAAAUAAAAAAUAAGAAAAUAAGAUAAAACA
This 1010-nucleotide long non-coding RNA is filed under the name Sus scrofa (pig). RNAcentral describes it as "lncRNA (ENSSSCG00040030229.1)". The record is from RNAcentral. Lineage: Eukaryota; Metazoa; Chordata; Mammalia; Artiodactyla; Suidae.